RNAcentral lists this ribosomal RNA (635 nucleotides) under Rotylenchulus reniformis. Its description in RNAcentral is "SSU rRNA". It matches the Rfam family "Eukaryotic small subunit ribosomal RNA", at positions 1003 to 1664 of the family's 1831-position model. The record is from RNAcentral. Lineage: Eukaryota; Metazoa; Nematoda; Chromadorea; Rhabditida; Hoplolaimidae.
GGCGAUCAGAUACCGCCCUAGUUCUGACCGUAAACGAUGCCAACUAGCGAUCCGCCAGUCGACUCAUCGCUCUGGUGGGGAGCUUCCCGGAAACGAAAGUCUUCCGGUUCCGGGGGAAGUAUGGUUGCAAAGCUGAAACUUAAAGGAGUUGACGGAAGGGCACCACCAGGAGUGGAGCCUGCGGCUUAAUUUGACUCAACACGGGGAAACUCACCCGGCCCGGACACCGUAAGGAUUGACAGAUUGAUAGCUUUUUCAUGAUUCGGUGGAUGGUGGUGCAUGGCCGUUCUUAGUUCGUGGAGCGAUUUGUCUGGUUUAUUCCGAUAACGAGCGAGACUCUGGCCUACUAAAUAGUUGACGCAUUGCCACUGUGCGCACAACUUCUUAGAGGGAUUUUCGGUGUUUUCAACCGCACGAAAUUGAGCAAUAACAGGUCUGUGAUGCCCUUAGAUGUCCGGGGCUGCACGCGCGCUACACUGGCAAACGCAACGUGCCUGUCCUGCCCCGAAAGGAGCGGGUAAACCCCUGAAAUUUUGCCAUGAUUGGGAUCGGACAUUGCAACUAUUGUCCGUGAACGAGGAAUUCCUUGUAGGGGCGAGUCAUCAACUCGUCCCGAAUACGUCCCUGCCCUUGUA